Long non-coding RNA from Maniola jurtina (meadow brown), 371 nucleotides. RefSeq lists it as uncharacterized. The transcript is spliced from 3 exons. The record is from RefSeq and is a predicted model, not a curated record. NCBI's taxonomy places the organism in Eukaryota, Metazoa, Arthropoda, Insecta, Lepidoptera, Nymphalidae.
CGCGCCCGCGCACCAGCAGAUCGAGGUCAUCAGCAGCGGCAGCGAGCCAAGCAGCACUCUAUCUCUCGGAAGCAGCGGUGCCGAUGACAAUGAAGAUUAAACUCCUACCCAUUAUGUUCCUAGGCGGAAUGGAGGAUAGCGGGAAUGGACCGCGUGGGCGAGGCAUGCGGGGCCGUGGACGCCCCUCGCGCCGCUCACACAAAGUUGUCAUUUUAUACGCGAUUCUUAUAUUGAUUAAUUAAAUUAAAUUGAUUUAAAAAAAAAAAUAGUUUUAUUGCUCAGAAAACAUAAGCACUUCUUGUCAUUUCACCAUGUUUCAAUGUCUUUGAUAGCCGAUUGUCAUUUAGAUCAAAGUUAUCUUGGGGGGUUGC